ACGCUGGCGGCAGGCCUAACACAUGCAAGUCGAGCGGAAACGACACUAACAAUCCUUCGGGUGCGUUAAUGGGCGUCGAGCGGCGGACGGGUGACUAAUGCCUAGGAAAUUGCCUUGAUGUGGGGGAUAACCAUUGGAAACGAUGGCUAAUACCGCAUAAUGCCUACGGGCCAAAGAGGGGGAUCUUCGGACCUCUCGCGUCAAGAUAUGCCUAGGUGGGAUUAGCUAGUUGGUGAGGUAAUGGCUCACCAAGGCGACGAUCCCUAGCUGGUCUGAGAGGAUGAUCAGCCACACUGGAACUGAGACACGGUCCAGACUCCUACGGGAGGCAGCAGUGGGGAAUAUUGCACAAUGGGCGAAAGCCUGAUGCAGCCAUGCCGCGUGUAUGAAGAAGGCCUUCGGGUUGUAAAGUACUUUCAGUUGUGAGGAAGGGGGURWMGUUAAUAGCKKYRYMUCUUGACGUUAGCAACAGAAGAAGCACCGGCUAACUCCGUGCCAGCAGCCGCGGUAAUACGGAGGGUGCGAGCGUUAAUCGGAAUUACUGGGCGUAAAGCGCAUGCAGGUGGUUCAUUAAGUCAGAUGUGAAAGCCCGGGGCUCAACCUCGGAACUGCAUUUGAAACUGGUGAACUAGAGUGCUGUAGAGGGGGGUAGAAUUUCAGGUGUAGCGGUGAAAUGCGUAGAGAUCUGAAGGAAUACCAGUGGCGAAGGCGGCCCCCUGGACA
This 723-nucleotide ribosomal RNA is filed under the name Vibrio sp. 13E02. RNAcentral describes it as "bacterial SSU rRNA". It matches the Rfam family "Bacterial small subunit ribosomal RNA", at positions 33 to 735 of the family's 1533-position model. The record is from RNAcentral. Lineage: Bacteria; Pseudomonadati; Pseudomonadota; Gammaproteobacteria; Vibrionales; Vibrionaceae.